CCCGCUGAACUAAAGCAUAUAAUUAAGCGGAGGAAUAGAAUAUAACAUUAAUUUCCUGAAUAGUGGCAGAACGAAAAGGAAAAAGCGCAUAGUGUACUAUCGAAUUACCCAAUUCGGAGUUGUACAUGACUACCAAUAAUACCCGAAUCUAGAUGGAGGUGUUAGGAAAAGCCCCCCAUUGGCGGUGAAAGGCCGCAGCAUCUAACGGAAGGUGACACAUUGCUAGUAAGCGGAGUCACAUUCCUUAGGCGUAGAAUGUAAAGAGGGUGGUAACUAUCAUCCAACGCUAAAUACUACAAGGAGACCGAUAGCAAACAAGUACCGUGAGGGAAAGUUGAAAAGCACUUCGGAAGGAGAGUUAAAAUACCUGAAAUCGCUAUGGUGGAAGCGUGUGCUAUAUUCUGUCAUUUCUCGAUACUCUCGAGGCUUGGCUUCCGCAUUCCUUGCGGUGCGAUCUAUUGGCAUUUAUGUCGAAGUAGCGACUGCAGGGUAUGUCCGAAUCUGGCACACGGCCCGUCGUGAAACACGG
This 529-nucleotide ribosomal RNA is filed under the name uncultured fungus. RNAcentral's name for it is "eukaryotic LSU rRNA". It matches the Rfam family "Eukaryotic large subunit ribosomal RNA", at positions 24 to 664 of the family's 3401-position model. The record is from RNAcentral. Lineage: Eukaryota; Fungi.